RNAcentral lists this ribosomal RNA (783 nucleotides) under Clostridioides difficile. Its description in RNAcentral is "bacterial SSU rRNA". It matches the Rfam family "Bacterial small subunit ribosomal RNA", at positions 26 to 841 of the family's 1533-position model. The record is from RNAcentral. Lineage: Bacteria; Bacillati; Bacillota; Clostridia; Peptostreptococcales; Peptostreptococcaceae.
AGGAUGAACGCUGGCGGCGUGCCUAACACAUGCAAGUUGAGCGAUUUACUUCGGUAAAGAGCGGCGGACGGGUGAGUAACGCGUGGGUAACCUACCCUGUACACACGGAUAACAUACCGAAAGGUAUGCUAAUACGGGAUAAUAUAUUUGAGAGGCAUCUCUUGAAUAUCAAAGGUGAGCCAGUACAGGAUGGACCCGCGUCUGAUUAGCUAGUUGGUAAGGUAACGGCUUACCAAGGCGACGAUCAGUAGCCGACCUGAGAGGGUGAUCGGCCACAUUGGAACUGAGACACGGUCCAAACUCCUACGGGAGGCAGCAGUGGGGAAUAUUGCACAAUGGGCGAAAGCCUGAUGCAGCAACGCCGCGUGAGUGAUGAAGGCCUUCGGGUCGUAAAACUCUGUCCUCAAGGAAGAUAAUGACGGUACUUGAGGAGGAAGCCCCGGCUAACUACGUGCCAGCAGCCGCGGUAAUACGUAGGGGGCUAGCGUUAUCCGGAUUUACUGGGCGUAAAGGGUGCGUAGGCGGUCUUUCAAGUCAGGAGUGAAAGGCUACGGCUCAACCGUAGUAAGCUCUUGAAACUGGGAGACUUGAGUGCAGGAGAGGAGAGUGGAAUUCCUAGUGUAGCGGUGAAAUGCGUAGAUAUUAGGAGGAACACCAGUUGCGAAGGCGGCUCUCUGGACUGUAACUGACGCUGAGGCACGAAAGCGUGGGGAGCAAACAGGAUUAGAUACCCUGGUAGUCCACGCUGUAAACGAUGAGUACUAGGUGUCGGGGGUUACCCCC